Long non-coding RNA from Erpetoichthys calabaricus (reedfish), 232 nucleotides. RefSeq lists it as uncharacterized. Lineage: Eukaryota; Metazoa; Chordata; Cladistia; Polypteriformes; Polypteridae. The record is from RefSeq and is a predicted model, not a curated record. The transcript has 3 exons.
ACAGGUUACCAAACAAGUAGAAGCUAAAGAAAAAGUUCAGCCAAAGACAAAUGUUGCAGUUGUACCAGAAACAAAGAAGCCCACAGAAGAAUCAUCAGAAACAACAGAGGCCCAAACUGAGAAUAAACACACUCAAGGGGGCAUACUGUCCUGGGUCACACAAGGAUUUGACAGCAUCCUCCCCAAGCCAUCAGAAUCUCCUCGAAUUCCCAGGGCUAAUGCUAUUGAAGAG